UGCCUUAGUACGGCGAGUGAAGCGGCAAAAGCUCAAAUUUGAAAUCUGGUACCUUCGGUGCCCGAGUUGUAAUUUGGAGAGGGCAACUUUGGGGCCGUUCCUUGUCUAUGUUCCUUGGAACAGGACGUCAUAGAGGGUGAGAAUCCCGUGUGGCGAGGAGUGCGGUUCUUUGUAAAGUGCCUUCGAAGAGUCGAGUUGUUUGGGAAUGCAGCUCUAAGUGGGUGGUAAAUUCCAUCUAAAGCUAAAUAUUGGCGAGAGACCGAUAGCGAACAAGUACAGUGAUGGAAAGAUGAAAAGAACUUUGAAAAGAGAGUGAAAAAGUACGUGAAAUUGUUGAAAGGGAAGGGCAUUUGAUCAGACAUGGUGUUUUGUGCCCUCUGCUCCUUGUGGGUAGGGGAAUCUCGCAUUUCACUGGGCCAGCAUCAGUUUUGGUGGCAGGAUAAAUCCAUAGGAAUGUAGCUUGCCUCGGUAAGUAUUAUAGCCUGUGGGAAUACUGCCAGCUGGGACUGAGGACUGCGACGUAAGUCAAGGAUGCUGGCAUAAUGGUUAUAUGCCGCCCGUCUU
Molecule: ribosomal RNA, 564 nt
Filed under: Saccharomyces cerevisiae (brewer's yeast)
Lineage: Eukaryota; Fungi; Ascomycota; Saccharomycetes; Saccharomycetales; Saccharomycetaceae
Description: partial large subunit ribosomal RNA
Rfam family: Eukaryotic large subunit ribosomal RNA
Source: RNAcentral